AACGAACGCUGGCGGCAUGCCUAACACAUGCAAGUCGAACGAAGCCUUCGGGCUCAGUGGCGCACGGGUGCGUAACGCGUGGGAAUCUGCCCUUGGGUUCGGAAUAACAGUUAGAAAUGACUGCUAAUACCGGAUGAUGUCUUCGGACCAAAGAUUUAUCGCCCAAGGAUGAGCCCGCGUAGGAUUAGGUAGUUGGUGGGGUAAGGGACCACCAAGCCGACGAUCCUUAGCUGGUGUGAGAGGAUGAACAGCCACACUGGGACGGGGACACGGCCCAGACUCCUACGGGAGGCAGCAGUGGGGAAUAUUGGACAAUGGGCGAAAGCCUGAUCCAGCAAUGCCGCGUGAGUGAUGAAGGCCUUAGGGUUGUAAAGCUCUUUUACCAGGGAUGAUAAUGACAGUACCUGGAGAAUAAGCUCCGGCUAACUCCGUGCCAGCCGCCGCAGUAA
Molecule: ribosomal RNA, 449 nt
Filed under: uncultured bacterium
Lineage: Bacteria
Description: partial 16S ribosomal RNA
Rfam family: Bacterial small subunit ribosomal RNA
Source: RNAcentral